AUUCCUCUGUUUCCUUGCUUUACCUUGUUAGGUUUUUGUUUCUGUUCAUAUACAAUAUGAAUAUUUUUCUCUCAUAUACUCCUUCUGCUAGAAACUUGCUGAUUUUAGGGGUGCUGCUACUACUGCAAAGAUCGUUUCAGAAAAAAAAACAAGUAGUGGUUGAUCGACACUUUGGGAUGAGCGUGCAUGUGUGGUACGUCUACUCGAGCGACCUACACUUCCUUCACAGAUUUGUUCAUGCCUUUCUUUUGGUUAUUUUCUAACUAACAUGAGACUUUUAUAUAUGUAUGUAGUACUAUAACAAAUACAGUUUUUUUGCUUCUACGUACUAUAUCCUACUAGCAUAUAUAUAUGGACUACUCACAUAUGAAAUGUUUGCAAAAAAAAACAAGCAAAGAAAAUGCAAUUUAUGAUAUUGUAUUAUUAUAAUUGAGACUUGUUUAACUUUUGUAGGAAGGAAAGAAAAGGACAACGCUCAAACAAAAGGACAACACUCACAAGGAACCAUGAAGCCAGCGAUCGUGUCAUCUGGAUAUUUAGCCUUCAUUUUGUACAACUAAUGUCUCAUACUAGCAUCUUUUAGCUGUCCUUUUUGUGAACGUGAUGUAUGGUGUCCUGGUGGUUAUGCUUGGAACAGACUAAAGCCUGUGUAUGUGACAAUUA
Molecule: long non-coding RNA, 663 nt
Filed under: Hordeum vulgare
Lineage: Eukaryota; Viridiplantae; Streptophyta; Magnoliopsida; Poales; Poaceae
Description: long non-coding RNA (HVUL_LNC008672)
Source: RNAcentral